Molecule: long non-coding RNA, 242 nt
Organism: Gavialis gangeticus (Gharial)
Lineage: Eukaryota; Metazoa; Chordata; Crocodylia; Gavialidae
Exons: 2
Source: RefSeq, a predicted model, not a curated record
GGGAGCAGAUGGCAAGGGCCAGGUUAAAGCCAGGACCUCCUCCAUUUGCCCCACCUUUCCACCCAGCUCUUGCCAGCCUCCUCCCCCAGGGGCACGCACUUGAACUCCUGCACCCAGGGCAGCAUGCGCCGGUCCUCGGGGCUGCACAGGUGCAUGUAGGCGCCGCAGGUGUGCCAGGGGUAGAAGGAGUGGAAGCGGAUCAUGUAGAAGGCCUGCGGGGGCACAGCGCGGUGAGGGGGCUG